CAUUUUAAGUCGUUUUCCCUCUCUUGCUCUCUUUUUCUCUCCUUCCCUCUUCUCUCUCUUUAAACCCUAAAAAUGUCUCUUCUUCUUCUCUUUCAGUUAGGGCACAAACGAAAACACACUGCUUCUAGGUAUUUCUCAGCACGCGUCGUAGUCACAACAACAUCCACCAUGAAUCCUAAUAGGUUAACUUUGAUGCAAAGACUGAGUAUGAUAAGAUCUAGAAUUACUAAGCCCUACAAGAGGUUUUCAACAAGCUGAUAAUAUGGCCAACAGGUGUGUGUUAUGGUAUGUUUUCUUGAAUCCUGUAGUUGUUGUUGUUCUGUUGUUGUUGUUGCUGCAGGAAAAGUACCCUUUAUUAACCAUAACAACAUCCAAAAAAACCUGGAAAUUGGUUUGGUGUUCGAUUUGAAUCUGAAGUAAAGAUCGAUUCGUGACUUCGGCAUAAUUAGGAGAGUCUGAGAGAGGGUGGUUCCGAACAUCAUUUCUUUUGUUAAGUUUUGUUUAAAUCACGGUAAGUUUCAUUUAGUUUGAUCUCAAACCUGACUUGAUCUACAUUUGUUAUGAAUUUGAAUUUACAUUAGUUUGAUCUCAAAGCUGUUUAAAUUCGAUAUGAUACUAAAGAUUUGGAUUUAUUUUUUCUUCUUUUAGGAUAAUGAAAAACAAGUCAGGGAAGAAUUUGAUAUGAUACGAAAUAUUCUCUUAGCUACUGCUUUUUAUUAAACAGCUAAAACAUUUGCUUAUCCUUAUUUACUUCAUAUAUUUUUCGAUUUUAGAGUUGUUUGUUUCCUCUUCUUAUUUCCAAGAGAGUCCAAUGCCAGAUCCAUCUGAAUUAUUUUCUAAUGUACAUGUUAAAGGAUACAUAGUUGAGUUAUAGAUUCCAUCCAUAUUCACUAUCCGUUGAUUAAAAUUAAACUAUAAGAAUAGGAAAUUUAUAGAUACGGAGUGAGAGUUAAGUUGUCAUAAAUAGGAAAUUUAAUAGUCCCCAAAUUGGUGAAAAUAAAGAAGAGUAAAAGAUUUUUCUACAGAACUAAUCUUUGAGCCCUUGGGUUGAGUUUCCCCGCGUAUAUAGUCAAUUUAUACUCUUGAGCGGCAAUGAGAGUUGAUUGAAUACUUUUUGACAUGUAUUUUUUGUUGGAGAGCAUAUGUAUGUAGAUUGACAAAAGCCUUCAUUUCUGGUGCAAAUGACUUCAUUUCUUCUUUCCUGACUUGAUCUACAUUUGUUAUUUGAUCACAAACCUGCCAAUUGUUUUAUAACUACAGCAUGUUUGGAUGGAACAUUGCCCAGUAACCACUUGGACCGCGGAUUUGAAUCUGGUGCAAAUAGUUGGCUUAUUCAUCUUGAGGUUGUGCUCUGUCAACACUUCAAACGGCUUUAUUAGUAGAGAAGUCCAGACAUAAGCCACAAGAGAGGAUGAUAAUUUUAUCAGAUAUAAGUUGAUUUUCCAAGUUUUGAUUGAUAUUGCUAUGUCAUCCAUAUGUCGCGGCUAAAGGGUUCUUUUUGUUGCAGGCACUUAAAACCAGUAACUAUGAUGCUGAACAUUUUGUAUGUUUAGAGUAAUGUACCAAUCAAGGAUGGUAAAGUGACAUUUUGUAUAUUUAGAGUCAUGUACCAACCAAGUUCAUCUUCUGACUUUUCUCUAGUAUUUAUGCUUCGAAAUCAUUUUUCAUAUAACCAAAUAUGAGUAUUCAUAGGAUCUUUCAAUUAUAUUGCUGAAUGACAUGUUUAUUGUUGACUGACAUGGUUCAAUUAUAUUUGGUUAUUUGGUCAUGUACAACACUUAAAUUGGUGCUUCAAUGGACUGUGUUAGUUGUGAAUACAUGUUGUAAGUUUGAAUUUUUGGCUUUAAUAAUGAUGAUUUCUCAAGUCAGUUAUAUUUUGAUUAAUAUGAGUUACUUUAGAUGUCAUAUUUUAAAAUUGGGAGCAUUUAGAUUAGAAUAAAAAUCUACAUGUGAUUUGAUUUCUUUAUUUUGAUGGAAUGUAGUAGUUGUGAAUGCAUGUUAUGACUGUAGCCUCUUAAUAUCUUACUCUUUAUGUUGAUGCAGCCAAAGUUUUCCUCUAGAACUAAAAGUUGACUCCAAACACUGAUGCACAAGUUUUGGUUCAAUGUUUGGAAAAGAAAUAAAUGAAAUUAGAAGACCUUUAUUUUUUCAGUCUAAAUUAAAACGCUGACCAAUUUAUUACUCUUAUAUGUAAUUCAUUGCACUCUUAUAUGUUAAACAAUAUAAUAUUUAUUAACCUUUAUUGAAAAUCAAUUAGCAAUUAUCUCAUUUAUUACCAUCAAUUUAUUUUUGUAGAAACAUGAGUCAUUUGAAAAACAUUCAAAUAUUUUUAUCCACAAAAGGCAAUAAGCUUUUUUGGACCUGUUAGUUUGUAAAUGGGUGCUAUUCACAAAAGGCAUUGAUCCAAUUAUCUCAUUUACUACUCUUAUAUAGAAUUAUGCAGGUGCUGGAUCUGUUAGUUUAGUUUGUAAAGGGGUGUUGUUCAGAUUAGACACAAAAGACAAUAUAUUUGUAAAACAAGAGUUGAGGCACCUGUUUGUACAAUUUAAACACAAAAGACAAUAAACUUUUUUUAUCUCGUGAUAAAUAAGGAUUAUUUAAAUAAUUAAGGAUAUUAAUUUAUCAAAUACAAAAGCUGAAUGAUUGAAUAA
Vicia villosa (hairy vetch) is the source of this 2651-nucleotide long non-coding RNA. RefSeq lists it as uncharacterized. NCBI's taxonomy places the organism in Eukaryota, Viridiplantae, Streptophyta, Magnoliopsida, Fabales, Fabaceae. The transcript is spliced from 3 exons. The record is from RefSeq and is a predicted model, not a curated record.